This is a non-coding RNA of Gossypium raimondii (Peruvian cotton), 149 nucleotides long. The record is from Rfam. Lineage: Eukaryota; Viridiplantae; Streptophyta; Magnoliopsida; Malvales; Malvaceae.
AUUUCUUUUAACAUAUUAGAAAAUCGAAUUGGCAGUGAAGAAAGAAGCAAGAAGUUAGAAGCCAUCAUUGCCUAUAACCAAAACCCAUAAACCCAUACCAUGCUUCUUUCUUCACUGCCAAUUUGACUUCCUAAUAUGUUAAAAGAAAU